Cygnus olor (mute swan) is the source of this 297-nucleotide long non-coding RNA. RefSeq lists it as uncharacterized. The transcript is spliced from 2 exons. Lineage: Eukaryota; Metazoa; Chordata; Aves; Anseriformes; Anatidae. The record is from RefSeq and is a predicted model, not a curated record.
CCAACCACCGAUACACCCAAACGCCACCGCAACGAGUGCUUCCCUGCUGCCAGCAGGGCCCUGCUUUUCACCCUGUGUUCAGAUGAGCAGCUUCCCAGCGUUCCUCAGCCACUUUGUACCGGAGCUACCUCCUUUGCAUCAUGAGCAUCUUCCAGGGCAGAGAGCUGGCCGCUCACCUUCUCCAGACAAGAGCGGUUUGUGCUUCGGACAGUAGGCAAUGAAGAAACCGGAGGCUGUUUAAAUGUGUCAAUUCACCUUUAAUGUUUGAAAAAAAUAAAUGGUAUUUGAGCCAUUGCA